CUUGGCCUCCCAAAGUGCUGGGAUUACAGGUGUGAGCCACCGCAACUGGCCUCCUUUUACAUUCUUAAUGACUGCACAAUAUCUCACUAUGGAGGAACCAUAAUUUACUCCAUCAUCUCUAUUGUUGGGGGUUUUGGUAGCUUUGGGAUUCUCAUUCUUAACAUGUCAUGCUUGAUGCCAUCACAGGUUGAGUCUUUAGAAGCUGACAGAAAUGGCAUUGGGGGUAUAAGAUAUUAACUAGGGCUGGAUCCCUGUGAAAGGAAGAGGGAAGAAGCAGGGGUGGGUGAGGGAGAAGGUGAACUGUGGUACAGUCCUGCAGCCUCAGCAGACCCCAGGGUCUACUGUAAAGGCCUAUCAGUGUUGUCCCAUUGGGUGGAAAUGGCUGGGCUUUUAUAAUCUUAAGUCAUUCACUGACCAGAUGAGGGCUGUCCUGGGAGGGGAAGGACCUCACGUGAGGCUGCACUCUGCAGCUGAGGCCAACUUUGAAGGAGCUGAUAGCUGGGGGUAUCUGUUGACCACACUCUCCAAGGCUGGGCAGCAAGUAGCAAGUCCUCCUGUGAAGCAAGUCCUCAUAUGACACUCCUAUGGGGCAUCUCUGUGUCUACCGCCGUUACUCAUUCUGUGCAUAUAUGUUUGCUUAGGUCCUUGGUAUAAAUUCCAAGAAGUGGAAUUGCUGGGACAGAGUGUGGGCAUUUGAAAAACUUUUUAUAUUUAUUGCCCAGUGACCUCCCAGAAAGAUUGUACCCCUUUCUCCCAUCAAGAGUUCAUCACUAAUGCAUCAAUACAUGACAAUUGUACUGUUUCACAUUUUUAAAUAUUGAAAGGUAUCUCAAAUUCCUUUGAAAAAUAAAUACAAAUUUUGAUGUUU
Molecule: small RNA, 868 nt
Filed under: Pan troglodytes (chimpanzee)
Lineage: Eukaryota; Metazoa; Chordata; Mammalia; Primates; Hominidae
Description: sense intronic
Source: RNAcentral